AGCGUAGGCGGGACGGUAAGUCAGGUGUGAAAUAUACGUGCUCAACAUGUAGACUGCACUUGAAACUGCUGUUCUUGAGUGAAGUAGAGGUAAGCGGAAUUCCUAGUGUAGCGGUGAAAUGCGUAGAUAUUAGGAGGAACAUCGGUGGCGAAGGCGGCUUACUGGGCUUUUACUGACGCUGAGGCUCGAAAGCGUGGGAGCAAACA
RNAcentral lists this ribosomal RNA (206 nucleotides) under uncultured bacterium. RNAcentral's name for it is "partial 16S ribosomal RNA". It matches the Rfam family "Bacterial small subunit ribosomal RNA", at positions 568 to 774 of the family's 1533-position model. The record is from RNAcentral.